This 585-nucleotide ribosomal RNA is filed under the name uncultured Actinobacteridae bacterium. RNAcentral describes it as "bacterial SSU rRNA". It matches the Rfam family "Bacterial small subunit ribosomal RNA", at positions 316 to 916 of the family's 1533-position model. Lineage: Bacteria; Bacillati; Actinomycetota; Actinomycetes. The record is from RNAcentral.
GAAGCGCUGCAGUCGAGAUUCCUACGGGAGGCAGCAGCAGGGAAUAUUGCACAAUGGGCGAAAGCCUGAUGCAGCAACGCCGCGUGAGGGAUGAAGGCCUUCGGGUUGUAAACCUCUUUCAGGAGGGAAGAAAUUGACGGUACCUCCAAAAGAAGCCCCGGCUAACUACGUGCCAGCAGCCGCGGUAAUACGUAGGGGGCGAGCGUUGUCCGGAUUUAUUGGGCGUAAAGGGCUCGUAGGCGGUUCAGUAAGUCGGCUGUGAAAGUCCGGGGCUCAACCCCGGAAAUGCAGUCGAUACUGCUGUGACUAGAAUCAGGUAGAGGAGAAUGGAAUUCCCGGUGUAGCGGUGGAAUGCGCAGAUAUCGGGAGGAACACCAGUAGCGAAGGCGGUUCUCUGGGCCUGUAUUGACGCUGAGGAGCGAAAGCGUGGGGAGCAAACAGGAUUAGAUACCCUGGUAGUCCACGCCGUAAACGUUGGGUACUAGGUGUGGCGAUCCGUCUAACGAUUGCCGUGCCGAAGCUAACGCAUUAAGUACCCCGCCUGGGGAGUACGGCCGCAAGGCUAAAACUCAAAGGAAUUGACGG